GUAGUCUCGCACAGAUGCAUAUCAAUAAGCGGAGGAAAAGAAACUAACAAGGAUUCCCCUAGUAACGGCGAGUGAAGCGGGAAGAGCUCAAAUUUGAAAUCUUAAAGGGUUUCCCUUUACGAAUUGUAGUUUAAAGAAGUGUUUUCUGUUGAGGUUUUGGUAAAAGUUCUUUGGAAUAGGACAUCAUAGAGGGUGAGAAUCCCGUAUUUGACCUUUACUUUCAACUUUGUGAUACACUUUCAAAGAGUCGGAUUGUUUGGGAAUGCAGUCCAAAAUGGGUGGUAAAUUUCAUCUAAAGCUAAAUAUUGGCGAGAGACCGAUAGCGAACAAGUACCGUGAGGGAAAGAUGAAAAGAACUUUGAAAAGAGAGUUAAACAGUACGUGAAAUUGUCAAAAGGGAAGCGUUUGACACCAGUGUUGUUUUUCUGAAAAUCAAUUAAAGAACUGUUUAUGCUAAGCUGUUUAGACUUUAUCAGCUAACUGUUUAGUUUGAGCUUUUCUUUAAUGCACUUUUCAGUUAACAAGUCAACAUCAAUUUCUUUUGCUGUAAAAAAGCUUGAGGAAGGUGGCUUGAGAUUCGUCUUAAGUGUUUAUAGCCUCUUGCCUAUGCAGUCGGAGAGAUUGAGGUCUGCAGCGUAGAUCCUUCGGGGCUAAAUGCAUUUGUGCUAAGUUAUAGCAUUUUAUAGACAACUUGUUGACUAUGAUUUGUCUUGUAGCUUACUCGCUUAUGUUAUUUUACCUACGCUUAGGAUGUUGAAGACUCUACAGAGAUA
RNAcentral lists this ribosomal RNA (773 nucleotides) under uncultured Neocallimastigales. RNAcentral's name for it is "partial large subunit ribosomal RNA". It matches the Rfam family "Eukaryotic large subunit ribosomal RNA", at positions 24 to 628 of the family's 3401-position model. Lineage: Eukaryota; Fungi; Neocallimastigomycota; Neocallimastigomycetes; Neocallimastigales. The record is from RNAcentral.